This 333-nucleotide long non-coding RNA is filed under the name Panax ginseng (ginseng). RNAcentral's name for it is "long non-coding RNA (PGIN_LNC010363)". Lineage: Eukaryota; Viridiplantae; Streptophyta; Magnoliopsida; Apiales; Araliaceae. The record is from RNAcentral.
UUUUUGUCAAGUUGGACAGCUCUCUUCUCGUUGUCUGUCCAUUCUUCUUUAACCUUGAUUUGCAUUUGGUUUGGAUCGUCAGUGGUUGUUGCAAGCUUUGUUGGAAUCUAGGGCCCAUUUUGAACGGUCUCAAAUAGAUCUUCAUCUAUUGAGUCCAUGUACGCUUUCAUCCUGACUUUCCAGUUAGCAAAUUUAUCCUUGUUGCACAUUGGUGGCUUGCUGCCUCCCCCGGUCCUGGAUUCGCUUGGUACGAGUGCCAUUGGAUCUACUAAAGCUUGUAAGCUAUAAAAUAGAACCUGCUCUGAUACCAAUUGUUAGUUCCUAGUUGGCACA